Molecule: long non-coding RNA, 2699 nt
Filed under: Oryzias sinensis (Chinese medaka)
Lineage: Eukaryota; Metazoa; Chordata; Actinopteri; Beloniformes; Adrianichthyidae
Description: lncRNA (ENSOSIG00000023734.1)
Rfam family: mir-10 microRNA precursor family (bases 1572-1641)
Source: RNAcentral
AUUUGUUUCUCAGUCCUGGACUCUUUAGCACUGAGUGUUCUGCAUCCCCUGGUUAAAAAACCUCUGUAAUGAUUUUUGCCUGCUGUUGGCAGUGAUCUUUAUCUUCAGUGUUUUCCCAGGCUCUUAGAGCAGCUUUAAGGGGGAUACCUUGUUUGAGGUUUUUCGGGUCAUGCCCAUGUUCUUUCUUCAACCUUCUGUUUCUGGAGAGGCCCAUCCCUGUGUCGGCAUCGUGACAGAGUUCUUGGCAAUAUCCUGAAAGUCAAAUCUGUUCAUUUAGAUUCAAGUGGUGACCAUGGAGCAGACAGCAGCCCAUUGGCAUGCUGGGGUAAAGCUGGUAUCCAGGGUGCUUAAUAUCCUAAACUCUAGCAUUUCUCUCCCUUUUAAUAACACCAACAAGCUGAUAUGAUUUUCUGGAUCUUAGAAGUGAUUUUCUUUUUUUAAUUUGUAAGAGUCGUUUGCAUUAUUUGCUUUUUCUUUUGCAGCUCUAUGUCAAGGCCAGAUCAAGCUGCUGCACGUCAUGGAUCUUUCUUAGCAGCACUCACGAAGAGCAGCUGUUUACCGGUUUGUUGAUUUACGCUGAAAGCACCGGCCUGCAGCCCUCCUCAUGCCUGACUUCAUCCAAUUCUAGAGGACACUGGACCAUCAGGUCCAGCCUGUGCCACACUGGUAUGUUGGCCAUUUGGAAUACUAGCAGAUCUCUGUGUGUAAGACUGAUUUAUUUUAGAACACAAGCAUCAUAACCUUAGGAAUCUAGUCUCAGUGCAUGUAUUAUGAUGGUGCUCUAUAUUUGUUUUUUUUUGUACUAAACAUUUUUUUAAUUUUAUUUAGCUAAUUUUGAGAUUUAUAAGACAAAAAGCGCAAAAUAUGUAAUCUAAAUUGCUGCUUUCAUUUUGAAGGGAAUUAUGAAUUGUGUUUUGAAAAAUACUUGUUGAGAAGGUUUUUUUUUUAAAUAAGAAAACAUUCAAGCAUUUUUCAAAAUGCGUUAAAAUGAUUUAUUUACUAGGAUUUGCUCUGCUAUUUUCUUGCUGCAAUUUUUAUUAGAACAGUUUUUUUCUCCAAUGUAAUUUUUUAUUAAAUCUUGAAUUAAUGAGUUCAUAUUUAUCUGUUUAAAUUUUAAAUUUCGCUUAAACGAAAUAAGGUUUUGUAAAAAUAAUUUGCACAGUGGUUCGUUACCAGGCAUUUCAGGAUUUUAAACAAUGUACAAUAGAUUACCCUGUGUAACAUUUGAAAAUGAAUGUUGACCUCAGAGGAAUGUGAUCAGUGGGUUGCACAAACACCUCACAGUCAUGUGUUCUGGCCUGUUCACUGUACCAUGGUGUAACUUUAGCGCUCCUCUCUGUUGGAUAGCUUGUAGCCACAUGAAAGAGUUAUAAUAAAAACAUUAGAAAAUAUAAUUUUUUCACUGUUUGAACUAUGUCAUGCAGCCUUGUUAUCUGUUUUUGGCUGUUUUAAGACCAAAUCCUGGUUUCAGCUCCUAGUGGGAAAGGAAUGCUCAGUGAAAAGAAAAUGGAAAAAAAUAUUUUUUUAACAAAAUGUGGGUUUCGUUUUGCUCUGAAACGGGUAACGCCAGCUGCCACAAACCCGUAGAUCCGAACUUGUGGUGACUGGCUGCGCAAGCUCGUAUCUAUAGGUAUGUGUCUUCCUGGCAAAUACAGCUUCUAACCAAUGUUUGUGGGGGGAAAAAUGUUUUUCCUUUUUAACCAAAAAAAUCAUUGUAAGAUCACGAGAUCUGGUCUGUCUCAUGUGUUACAACAAUUGGACAUUGGGGAGGAGUCUUUCUGUAUGACCCCACCCAGAGGGAAGAGGGUUGGGCUGUUUGAUGGCAUGAUGUGACAUUGUUUCAGAUCAGCAACCGGGGCUGCCUCGUACAAACAGUAACAGUCCUUCAGGCUAUUGAUUAGACAUUUAUGUAAAUGUAUGGAUUCAUAAAAAAAAAAAAAAAAUUUUUACAUUUUUUCUCAGCAUCCAUUAUCAUGAUAGUGGAGCAGCUUUCAUGUCUGCAGAGGCAGAUUUGACCUGCAUCUUCUUCCAGUGUUCCGCAGGUUGAGGUAGUAGGUUGUAUAGUUCAGAGUGACACCACAGGAGAUAACUGUACAGCCUCCUAGCUUUCCCUGAGGAAACACAACUCCCUGAUGGACUAUUUCAAACACCGGCUUCAAUGCAAUAUUGUUCCGACAGAGGUUUUAUCUCUCGGCUGUAAAUGUUGUGUCUUCGUAUCAGGUGGUUUUCGUAUCUUUCCAUAAACUAAUAUUGUAGAUUCUUUUUUAUUUUGUUCCCCUGCAAGGUUUGACAUGUUUGUAAAGCACUGGAGAUUGAAAAAAAAAACAGAGAUAAAAUGCAGCUUCAACAUGAAAAAGGACAUCUUGUCCACCGUUUUUUGAGGCAGGAAUUAAAAGUAUGGUGGAGGAAUUAUAUUGCAGAGAGAAAUCUUUAAGUUUUGGGGGUAAAUGAAAAACCCAACAGGCUGUGAGCAGCGAGGUUUGUGGGACGCUGUAAUAAAAGAGACGCCACUGAAGGGAAACACCAAACAGCCGCAGGGGGAAGAGCACGGUCUUGGCAGUCAAUUGUGUACAAAGUUCACUUUUGCUUAAUCAAAACGGUAUAUUUCCUCUGCUGUGCGGCGAAGGCACUGUUGUGAUUAAAACAGGCAGUCACAACGUUCACCAACAAAGCCGCAGACCUCCAGAAUCAUGCAGGGU